UGAAAUUUAACGGAUUUGGCGGCAAGAUAGCUCCUUAGAGGAACCUGCCCUGUAAACGAUGAACCACGAAAGCCUUACUUUUUUUUAUAAAUUAGUUUGUAUACCGCUGUUGUCAGUUAAAUUUUUGAGAAUAUUUUCUAACAUGAUAAAAUCAUUGACUUCAAGUAAAGGUGCAGCUUAUAAAGAAGAUAGAGGUGGGUUACAUUUAUAAGAUUAAACGGAUAAGAUGAAUUAAAUUAGUUUUUGAAGGUGGAUUUAACUGUAAAACUUAAGGAAGUUUGGUGAAAGCUCUAUUUUGUGUACACAC
RNAcentral lists this ribosomal RNA (307 nucleotides) under Bathylasma sp. CEL_13_7786_1. Its description in RNAcentral is "partial 12S ribosomal RNA". RNAcentral also lists the same sequence under 1 other name. The record is from RNAcentral. Lineage: Eukaryota; Metazoa; Arthropoda; Thecostraca; Balanomorpha; Bathylasmatidae.